Long non-coding RNA from Gekko japonicus, 562 nucleotides. RefSeq lists it as uncharacterized. Lineage: Eukaryota; Metazoa; Chordata; Lepidosauria; Squamata; Gekkonidae. The record is from RefSeq and is a predicted model, not a curated record. The transcript has 3 exons.
GCUCAGUGCUCUGCUGGAUGCUGCCCGAGCAUGAGGCCUGCCAUGUGCCCUGUCCCAUCUGGGACGCCCAUCCUUAAAUGACAGGGCAUGUGGCACGGGGCCACCUCCCUCCGGCUUCAUACCAUGCAUGCUUAGAACACACACCGGGUGGAUGUGGGUAGAUGGGAACUCUGGAGGAAAAAAGCACUUGGCACCGCCAGCCAGGGAUAAGAACAAAUUCUGUUCCCGUAGGUUGCUAACAGUGCUCUGCUAGAAGCCUUACAGGUUCUCCACCUCAGGACACAAGCAGUGACUCAGCUGGUGACAUGAGGAUGAUGCCGUCCGCAGAGGAUCAGGCCCCCAAAGAGUGGCCCAAACAGAAACUGCAGAUGGGGUUCCAAUACAACUCUCUACAAGGAACAGGGGGCCCUCCAACAGGCAUAGAGGUGAGGACGGGUGCCAUCCACAGUGGAACAUCAACCACCCGCUGAGCCGAAGACAUGAUCAAACGGCUGCAGUGACUUGCGUGCACCUGUCUACCUGUUGUGUGCCUGCCAGGUCUUUCGAUAUAGCCUGGCUCCUG